UGAUUAGGCAUUCAUAAGAUUUCAUUAUUUAGUAGCAGACUUAUUCUUGUGUUUUUGGCAUUCACAAGCUUUGACCUAUUUAGUAGUAGGCUUAUAGAGGUUGCUAGACCUUAGUGUUAAAUAGGCUUUCAGGCUUCAUCGAACCUUUAAAAAGGCUUGAUCAGACCUUAAAAAUGAGUAUAUGACGGGUAAUAGGUCAGACUCAGGCCUAUAAUUUUUUAUGUAGGCCACACUUAGACCUUAC
This 244-nucleotide long non-coding RNA is filed under the name Medicago truncatula (barrel medic). Its description in RNAcentral is "long non-coding RNA (MTRU_LNC002101)". Lineage: Eukaryota; Viridiplantae; Streptophyta; Magnoliopsida; Fabales; Fabaceae. The record is from RNAcentral.